Felis catus (domestic cat) is the source of this 1334-nucleotide long non-coding RNA. RefSeq lists it as uncharacterized. NCBI's taxonomy places the organism in Eukaryota, Metazoa, Chordata, Mammalia, Carnivora, Felidae. The record is from RefSeq and is a predicted model, not a curated record. The transcript is spliced from 4 exons.
CCCUCAUCGUCCUCCUGAGCAGACACAGGGCUAAUUCUUCUCCGUCCACGCAAGCCGAUCGGCACUUACGUACCGCCUGGCUCUUGCUCCAGCUCCUAAGUACCUCCAGGGAAGAAGAUUCUAUCCCACCCAGGAAAGAACCGCCUGGAAGGCAGACAAAAGAAAACAAUGUUUCACAGCAAGGACUGGAGCCCUGAAAAGUCUCUUGCCACCCGCCCAGCAAGGGUAGGGGUCCACAGUGCUGUGUUUUCCAGAAUCUUCCUCUGUAAGACUUGAGAAGGCUCUAAUGGCACUCAGCACAAAAGAUUCAGGGAACAAAAGGGCUGCUGUCCAUAAGGGGGGCCAUUUUGCAUUUGAGGAGAAAAUGGGAAGGGGCAGGCAUGGAAACUGCCACCGUCAGAGUCCACGUUGGCUUAUAUACCAAGGCAGAAACAGGACUUCUGAAGGUCACCGCUGGCCUCCAAUCACCGCCGUAGUAAGGCUUUCCUUGUGGCCGUUGUACGUGAGGCACAUUGCAACGUGGACUGGCCACGUUUCACCUGCCCAGUAGCCACAGGUGGCUCAUGGUCAGCUUACUGGACUUUGCAACUCUGGAUCGUUGCUACUCCAAGGGUGGCCUGCCACCCAGCCACCCCUGUACCGUCUGGUGGUUCACUAGAAAUGCGGAAUCUCAAGCCCUGAAUCAGAAUCUGGAUUUCAGCCAGACCCCCAGGUGGUCUACGUACGUAUUAAAGUUUGAGCAGCACUAUUGGCUGAAGGCAAACUGGGAGCUUGCAGAAAGCAGAAAGGAAUGCUCUCCUCUUACCUUCCUUCUUUGUGCCUCUUCCUCCCUCUGGCUUUCCAGAAGGUACCAGCCCUGGCUCCAUUUGAGACUCCUCUAGAGAGCCUGAAAAAUAUGAUACCUGGACUCCGCUCCAGAGAUCUUGAUUUAAUCGGUCCUGGGAGGAGCCCGGGCAACAGGUGUUGUUCAAGAAGUUCCACAGGUGACAGUGACGUACACCUGGGCAGAGAGUCACAGGCUAGCCCCACGCCCAACGCCGUAGCCUCGUUCGGUCCUGCCGUGCGACGGGGUGAAUACACCUGAACUCACAUCCUAGAGGGCUUUGGAGUAAGACAGGUCGAGCAAAGCAGCUCACGUAAGCAGUCACAGCUCUGUAAAAUUGCACAAAUACUCCUAAUUGUCCCACAGACUCCUAGUAAUCGAUGCCAUACGUGAAAAUAGUAUCCCUCGGAGCAGCUGAUUCCCCUGGUGUGAUGAAAUAUGGAGGGAAUAUACAAUUCAUACAUUUAUUAAAUAACUAAUUGUCCUAAUAAAAGUACCCCUGUUCAACAUA